This 214-nucleotide long non-coding RNA is filed under the name Eucalyptus grandis. Its description in RNAcentral is "long non-coding RNA (EGRA_LNC003098)". The record is from RNAcentral. Lineage: Eukaryota; Viridiplantae; Streptophyta; Magnoliopsida; Myrtales; Myrtaceae.
AAUGACCCAACAUCUUACGGGUCAAAUUAAUAAUUACAAUAAUUUUAGGGUUAACUCCUGCGAGUAAUGCUUACAAUAUUCAUAACCUAAAAGUCAACUCACAAUAUUCAAACUUAAACAAUAAUAAUAAAACUAACUAAAAGUAAAGUAAAAUAAUAUAAAAUAAGAAAAAUAAAAAUAAAAGAAAAAUAAACAACCUAAGGAAAAUGGAGGG